GAAAUGCGAUAAGCAAUGCGAAUUGCAGAUUUCCGCGAAUUAUCAGAUCUUUGAACGAAAAUGGAGCCGCAGGGAUAUCCUUUCGGCAUGUCUGUUUCAGUGUCUGAGAGGUUUCAAACAAAUCUUAAUGUGAUUGAAGGGUUGCUUGAGAGUACUUGCUACUCCCUUACAAAUCUUCUCUCAUGAAAGAUGGGUGAGUGGAUCUUUCGGUCCAAUGAAGUGGUCACAUCACUCGCAUGUGAUUUCAUUGGAAAUCACCGAAUUAUUCGUAUACUCACCGUAACAAAAUAACCAAAAUCUCCAUACCCUGCAUCUGAGAUAGGCAAGAUCACCCGCUGAACUUAA
This 345-nucleotide unclassified non-coding RNA is filed under the name uncultured Astraeus. RNAcentral describes it as "sequence contains ITS1". The stretch from base 1 to 105 matches the Rfam family "5.8S ribosomal RNA", at positions 50 to 154 of the family's 154-position model. The record is from RNAcentral. Lineage: Eukaryota; Fungi; Basidiomycota; Agaricomycetes; Boletales.